This 305-nucleotide ribosomal RNA is filed under the name uncultured bacterium. RNAcentral describes it as "partial 16S ribosomal RNA". It matches the Rfam family "Bacterial small subunit ribosomal RNA", at positions 506 to 808 of the family's 1533-position model. The record is from RNAcentral.
ACAGCAGUAGCCGCGGUAAUACGUAGGUCCCGAGCGUUGUCCGGAUUUAUUGGGCGUGAAGCGAGCGCAGGCGGUUAGAUAAGUCUGAAGUUAAAGGCUGUGGCUUAACCAUAGUAUGCUUUGGAAACUGUUUAACUUGAGUGCAGAAGGGGAGAGUGGAAUUCCAUGUGUAGCGGUGAAAUGCGUAGAUAUAUGGAGGAACACCGGUGGCGAAAGCGGCUCUCUGGUCUGUAACUGACGCUGAGGCUCGAAAGCGUGGGGAGCAAACAGGAUUAGAUACCCGAGUAGUCCCUGUCUCUUAUACA